UAACUGUUUUUGUAGUUGUAUCACGGUGGUUUAAAUCACACAAUCUUGCGGAAGCCGAGGCAAGAAUC
Molecule: transfer RNA, 68 nt
Filed under: Triphoturus nigrescens (highseas lampfish)
Lineage: Eukaryota; Metazoa; Chordata; Actinopteri; Myctophiformes; Myctophidae
Description: tRNA-Glu
Source: RNAcentral